CUUUGUCUGAGAUCGGCUCUCCGUUUGGAUCCGUAGGAACGGGGGGCGGAGUGGUCAGGGGAGGCCCGGUUCAGCGCCGAUAAGGGCGAUCAUGCUGAAAAUGACUCGCAGUAAUUCCAGAGACCGAAGAUGGGAUGUGAGGCAGUCCAUGGAGUGACCCAAAUCAAAGCAGUACAAAGAUAUCUCUGUGGACUGGGCCCCUUUUUGCAUAUGGGGAGACUACCACGCAUCUCUCGCUCUGGACAUUGGGCCGACUGAAUCAUCCUUUGAGUUUGAAGGAGAUCUUGUUAAUGAGUAGGUAACUGAGGCAUUUGACUUAUUUCCACAUUUCACCCAGAAUUUGCAUGAAUAUGACAGUGUUGUGCUCCAGUAGGACUGCUAAUUAAGUCUACCCAUAAUUGUAAGAGCAAGCUGUGUGCGGUCUAAUCAUUGUUUCCUGUAUUCAGGAGGAGUCCUUGUGGAUGCUGGGUAUGUCUGGUUGAAUGCUGCAUUGGCCAUGUGAUAAAAUCAGGAUUAUAGGUAGCAGUAUAUUUGAAUUAUGAACAGGCCUCCUCUUAUCGUGGUGAGAAACUUAUUUUUCGGAGUGUGCCAGAGGUCUGAGUUGGUGAGAUUUCUAAAGCCAUAUGCAUGCUUUCAUGGUACCUGACUGACAAAAUAACUUUCACGGGCAAUGGAGUCCAAAAUGUGGACAUGCUUCAUGGACUGUAGGUCGUGGAAAAAUGUACACAGUAACCCGUUAGUUCUGAUAGGGCUUUUUGCUCUACUCAUCAAAAAAUGUAUAUUAUAAAUAGAUUUUUGCCUGAAGAGCAACAUGUUACGAAAGUCUUGGCAAGUAUCCACAGAAGAAAGACAGACCAUA
Anguilla rostrata (American eel) is the source of this 859-nucleotide long non-coding RNA. RefSeq lists it as uncharacterized. NCBI's taxonomy places the organism in Eukaryota, Metazoa, Chordata, Actinopteri, Anguilliformes, Anguillidae. The transcript has 3 exons. The record is from RefSeq and is a predicted model, not a curated record.